Pelobates cultripes (western spadefoot toad) is the source of this 252-nucleotide non-coding RNA. The record is from the annotation of a GenBank genome assembly. NCBI's taxonomy places the organism in Eukaryota, Metazoa, Chordata, Amphibia, Anura, Pelobatidae.
CAGACAGCCAUUAGAGGACUUUCUGAAUCGAAACGGACCCUAGGUAUCCGGUAUCUGACGCUGGACGUUCUCACGCUCUUUCCCCCAUAGGAAAGUAUUAAUUAAUGCGCAUUAGACCCUGCACAUCGCGGGACGGAGGAGGGGCAGAGCGUCAACCCAGAGCCAAGGGACAUCGACACUGGGAAAAGGUAAGUAAAUAAAGGGGUUUUAACCUUUAUUUACCAAGAAGGGGACAUGUGGGAGGGAUUGGGG